This is a microRNA precursor of Sarcophilus harrisii (Tasmanian devil), 150 nucleotides long. Ensembl annotates it as sha-mir-221. Its record names the gene sha-mir-221. The record is from Ensembl. NCBI's taxonomy places the organism in Eukaryota, Metazoa, Chordata, Mammalia, Dasyuromorphia, Dasyuridae.
UAUGUUAUCCAGAUGAAAAGAAUUGGUUUUGUAGGAAGAACAUCCAGGUUUGGGGCAUGAACCUGGCAUACAAUGUAGAAUUCUGUGUUUAUUAAGUAACAGCUACAUUGUCUGCUGGGUUUCAGGCUACCUGGGAAUAUACAUCUAACU